CCUACGGGUGGCAGCAGUGGGGAAUAUUGGACAAUGGGCGAAAGCCUGAUCCAGCCAUGCCGCGUGUGUGAAGAAGGCCUUCGGGUUGUAAAGCACUUCCAGUGGGGAAGAAAGCCUUGGGGCUAAUACCCUCGAGGAAGGACAUCACCCACAGAAGAAGCACCGGCUAACUCCGUGCCAGCAGCCGCGGUAAUACGGAGGGUGCGAGCGUUAAUCGGAAUUACUGGGCGUAAAGCGCGCGUAGGCGGUCUGAUAAGCCGGUUGUGAAAGCCCCGGGCUCAACCUGGGAACGGCAUCCGGAACUGUCAGGCUAGAGUGCAGGAGAGGAAGGUAGAAUUCCCGGUGUAGCGGUGAAAUGCGUAGAGAUCGGGAGGAAUACCAGUGGCGAAGGCGGCCUUCUGGACUGACACUGACGCUGAGGUGCGAAAGCGUGGGUAGCAAACAGGAUUAGAUACCCUGGUAGUC
RNAcentral lists this ribosomal RNA (465 nucleotides) under Vreelandella stevensii. Its description in RNAcentral is "partial 16S ribosomal RNA". It matches the Rfam family "Bacterial small subunit ribosomal RNA", at positions 338 to 795 of the family's 1533-position model. Lineage: Bacteria; Pseudomonadati; Pseudomonadota; Gammaproteobacteria; Oceanospirillales; Halomonadaceae. The record is from RNAcentral.